Molecule: ribosomal RNA, 253 nt
Filed under: uncultured bacterium
Lineage: Bacteria
Description: partial 16S ribosomal RNA
Rfam family: Bacterial small subunit ribosomal RNA
Source: RNAcentral
UACAGGGGGGGCAAGCGUUGUUCGGAAUUAUUGGGCGUAAAGGGCGCGUAGGCGGCUCGGCACGUCCGUUGUGAAAUCGCCCGGCUCAACUGGGCGGGGUCAGCGGAUACGGUCGAGCUUGAGCAAGCUAGGGGGCAAUGGGAUUCCCGGUGUAGUGGUGGAAUGCGUAGAUAUCAGGAGGAACACCGGUGGCGAAGGCGGGAUCCUGGGCCAGUACUGACGCUGAGGAGCGAAAGCGUGGGGAGCAAACAGG